AGUUACAGGAACUCGAUUUAUCCAACAACAAAAUAUCAGAGGUCCGAGGGUUGUCUUUACUGGAAACUUUAACAUCAGUCAACCUCUCUGGGAAUGUUCUACGCUGUACUGAAUGUCUUGGAUCUCUUUGUUCUUUGCAGGAGUUGAAUCUUGCUGAUAACCAGCUGAAGUCUGUUAGCAGCUUUGCUCAACAAUUCCCUAACCUCGAAGUUCUUAAUGUAGUCAACAAUGACAUUGACUUCAGGGAUGGUCUAAAAUCUCUGACGCAGUGCUUCCACCUAGUGGAACUGAAUUUAGCUGGCAACUUAGCUGAGACACCAGAGGAAGAUGAAACCAUG
Long non-coding RNA from Rhincodon typus (whale shark), 338 nucleotides. RefSeq lists it as uncharacterized. The transcript is spliced from 4 exons. Lineage: Eukaryota; Metazoa; Chordata; Chondrichthyes; Orectolobiformes; Rhincodontidae. The record is from RefSeq and is a predicted model, not a curated record.